RNAcentral lists this ribosomal RNA (229 nucleotides) under uncultured bacterium. RNAcentral's name for it is "partial 16S ribosomal RNA". It matches the Rfam family "Bacterial small subunit ribosomal RNA", at positions 524 to 776 of the family's 1533-position model. The record is from RNAcentral.
CACAAGGGAGACUAGUGUUAUUCAUCUUUAUUAGGUUUAAAGGGUACCUAGACGGUAUAUCAAGCCCCAAAAGGGAACGGAUAUACUAGAGUUUUAUGUGAGAGGCAAAUAUAGUACUAUUGGUGUAGAGAUAAAAUUCAUUGAUACCUCUAGGCACGGGUAACGGCGAAGGCAAUCCGUCUAUGUAAAAACUGACGUUGAGGGACGAAGGACUUGGGGAGCGAAUAGG